This 234-nucleotide small RNA is filed under the name Arabidopsis thaliana (thale cress). RNAcentral's name for it is "ATSL163580". The record is from RNAcentral. Lineage: Eukaryota; Viridiplantae; Streptophyta; Magnoliopsida; Brassicales; Brassicaceae.
GGAGUAUUCCAUUUUCCUUCCUCAUUCAUCGGAGAGCUCUCUUUGAGCUUUCUGAAAAGGUAUCACAUGCCAAGUUUGGCCUCACGGUCUAAAAGUUAUAGAGUCAUACAUUUUUAAAAAUACAAAAUAGAGAAAAACCGAAGAAAAGAGGGAUGCAACACGAGGACUUUCCGGGAGGUAAUCCAUCCUAGUACUACUCUCGCCCAAGCACCCUUAACUGCGAAGUUCUAAUGG